RNAcentral lists this ribosomal RNA (2063 nucleotides) under Vibrio cholerae. RNAcentral describes it as "bacterial LSU rRNA". It matches the Rfam family "Bacterial large subunit ribosomal RNA", at positions 885 to 2925 of the family's 2925-position model. The record is from RNAcentral. Lineage: Bacteria; Pseudomonadati; Pseudomonadota; Gammaproteobacteria; Vibrionales; Vibrionaceae.
GACGAAUACUACUGGGGGUAGAGCACUGUUAAGGCUAGGGGGUCAUCCCGACUUACCAACCCUUUGCAAACUCCGAAUACCAGUAAGUACUAUCCGGGAGACACACGGCGGGUGCUAACGUCCGUCGUGGAGAGGGAAACAACCCAGACCGCCAGCUAAGGUCCCAAAGUAUUGCUAAGUGGGAAACGAUGUGGGAAGGCUCAGACAGCUAGGAUGUUGGCUUAGAAGCAGCCAUCAUUUAAAGAAAGCGUAAUAGCUCACUAGUCGAGUCGGCCUGCGCGGAAGAUGUAACGGGGCUAAGCAAUACACACCGAAGCUGCGGCAAUGUCUUUUAGACAUUGGGUAGGGGAGCGUUCUGUAAGCCGUUGAAGGUGAAUCGUAAGGUUUGCUGGAGGUAUCAGAAGUGCGAAUGCUGACAUGAGUAACGACAAAGGGGGUGAAAAACCUCCUCGCCGGAAGACCAAGGGUUCCUGUCCAACGUUAAUCCGGGGCAGGGUGAGUCGACCCCUAAGGUGAGGCCGAAAGGCGUAAUCGAUGGGAAACGGGUUAAUAUUCCCGUACUUCUGACUAUUGCGAUGGGGGGACGGAGAAGGCUAGGUGGGCCAGGCGACGGUUGUCCUGGUUCAAGUGCGUAGGCUUGAGAGUUAGGUAAAUCCGGCUCUCUCUAAGGCUGAGACACGACGUCGAGCUACUACGGUAGUGAAGUCAUUGAUGCCAUGCUUCCAGGAAAAAGCCUCUAAGCUUCAGAUAGUCAGGAAUCGUACCCCAAACCGACACAGGUGGUCGGGUAGAGAAUACCAAGGCGCUUGAGAGAACUCGGGUGAAGGAACUAGGCAAAAUGGUACCGUAACUUCGGGAGAAGGUACGCUCUUGAUGGUGAAGUCCCUCGCGGAUGGAGCUGACGAGAGUCGCAGAUACCAGGUGGCUGCAACUGUUUAUUAAAAACACAGCACUGUGCAAAAUCGCAAGAUGACGUAUACGGUGUGACGCCUGCCCGGUGCCGGAAGGUUAAUUGAUGGGGUUAGCGCAAGCGAAGCUCUUGAUCGAAGCCCCGGUAAACGGCGGCCGUAACUAUAACGGUCCUAAGGUAGCGAAAUUCCUUGUCGGGUAAAGUUCCGACCUGCACGAAUGGCGUAAUGAUGGCCACGCUGUCUCCACCCGAGACUCAGUGAAAUUGAAAUCGCUGUGAAGAUGCAGUGUACCCGCGGCUAGACGGAAAGACCCCGUGAACCUUUACUACAGCUUGGCACUGAACAUUGAACCUACAUGUGUAGGAUAGGUGGGAGGCUAUGAAGACGUGACGCCAGUUGCGUUGGAGCCGUCCUUGAAAUACCACCCUUGUAUGUUUGAUGUUCUAACUUAGACCCAUUAUCUGGGUUGAGGACAGUGCCUGGUGGGUAGUUUGACUGGGGCGGUCUCCUCCCAAAGAGUAACGGAGGAGCACGAAGGUGGGCUAAUCACGGUUGGACAUCGUGAGGUUAGUGCAAUGGCAUAAGCCCGCUUAACUGCGAGAAUGACGGUUCGAGCAGGUGCGAAAGCAGGUCAUAGUGAUCCGGUGGUUCUGUAUGGAAGGGCCAUCGCUCAACGGAUAAAAGGUACUCCGGGGAUAACAGGCUGAUACCGCCCAAGAGUUCAUAUCGACGGCGGUGUUUGGCACCUCGAUGUCGGCUCAUCACAUCCUGGGGCUGAAGUCGGUCCCAAGGGUAUGGCUGUUCGCCAUUUAAAGUGGUACGCGAGCUGGGUUUAGAACGUCGUGAGACAGUUCGGUCCCUAUCUGCCGUGGGCGUUGGAAGAUUGAAGGGGGCUGCUCCUAGUACGAGAGGACCGGAGUGGACGAACCUCUGGUGUUCGGGUUGUGUCGCCAGACGCAUUGCCCGGUAGCUAAGUUCGGAAUUGAUAAGCGCUGAAAGCAUCUAAGCGCGAAGCGAGCCCUGAGAUGAGUCUUCCCUGACAGUUUAACUGUCCUAAAGGGUUGUUCGAGACUAGAACGUUGAUAGGCAGGGUGUGUAAGCGUUGUGAGGCGUUGAGCUAACCUGUACUAAUUGCCCGUGAGGCUUAACCAU